UUACGGCCAUAUCACGCUGAAAACACCGGUUCUCGUCUGAUCACCGAAGUUAAGCAACGUCGAGCCUGGUCAGUACUUGGAUGGGUGACCGCUUGGGAAUACCAGGUGCUGUAAG
Molecule: ribosomal RNA, 115 nt
Filed under: Acanthosepion pharaonis
Lineage: Eukaryota; Metazoa; Mollusca; Cephalopoda; Sepiida; Sepiidae
Source: RNAcentral